ACCAAAGGAACACAAAUAAUUUCUUUCUUUCUUGUUCUUUCUCCUUGUUCAAGUCGACACAAACAAAAGAAAUCAAGAAAUCUUUUUUCUUGUUCUUCCUUUCAAUCAAGAGUUUGAAAUAAAUCAAAUAUUGUUUUUUUUUUCUUAAUCUAUCUUUCUUGGUUCGAUGGUGUCGUGAAGUUUGGUUUCCAGUUUGGAUGUGAAAAACGAAGAAGAAGCUGCAGGAUCUUCGAGGUUCUUGGGUUUUACUGGUGAAGUCGGGUUGUCGAAGACGGAGGAGCUCGAUUGCAGCAGUGGAGUGGUGAUGAUGUUCUUCAAAAAAAUGGCAACCCAGCAGGUGGUUCUGGUCUCGAAUUCUCGAUGGCAGCAGUAGGUGAAGGUGAUCGUUAUCAGUGAUGUUCGAGAGGGGUUGAUAUAAGGUGGUGGUUGUUGGUUUGUUGGAACGAAAACGAAAUGGAACGAAAACGAAAGCAGUUGAUAUCAAUAGUGUUGGCCUUGGUUGUAAGGCAAAAACGAAAGCAACAAUUGUUGGCUCUGGUCUCGGUUGUAAGGAAAAGAUGAAUGUGAAGAAAGUGCUACCUGGUGGUGUAUAGAAAGAUAAUGAGGCUGAACAAAAAAAUGUUCAAAAAAACAAAGAAAUAAAGAAAGAGAAUAGGGGGCUACGUUUGAGAGAGAGAGAGAGAGAGAGAGAGAGAGAGAGAGAGAGAGAGAGAAUGUGAGGGUAUAAUGCUGGUGCUAGAGUUUAUAUAAUGAAGAGUCUGCUUUUUGUAAAAGUUAAAUAUGUAAUCCUAUUAUUUUGAUUGGCUGAUUCUUAUUCUCAAGGAUCACCAUCUUAGACCAUUCAAAUUAGAUCCAAAUCAUGUAAAUUAGAUCCAA
Long non-coding RNA from Lactuca sativa (garden lettuce), 876 nucleotides. RefSeq lists it as uncharacterized. The record is from RefSeq and is a predicted model, not a curated record. Lineage: Eukaryota; Viridiplantae; Streptophyta; Magnoliopsida; Asterales; Asteraceae.